This 72-nucleotide transfer RNA is filed under the name Mesocricetus auratus (golden hamster). It matches the Rfam family "tRNA". Rfam says of the family: Transfer RNA (tRNA) molecules are approximately 80 nucleotides in length. Their secondary structure includes four short double-helical elements and three loops (D, anti-codon, and T loops). Lineage: Eukaryota; Metazoa; Chordata; Mammalia; Rodentia; Cricetidae. The record is from Rfam by way of RNAcentral.
GGGGGCGUAGCUCAGUGGCAGAGCAUGUGCUUAGCAUGCCCACGUCCCUGGACUUGAGUCCCAGCCUCCCUG